Molecule: long non-coding RNA, 651 nt
Organism: Pungitius pungitius (ninespine stickleback)
Lineage: Eukaryota; Metazoa; Chordata; Actinopteri; Perciformes; Gasterosteidae
Exons: 3
Source: RefSeq, a predicted model, not a curated record
CAGCUGUCCUCCCCAAAGCAAACAUGGGGCAAGGUGCGACUCCCGUGACUCUGUCGGAAAAAGACCCCAAACUGCUUAAAACUAGUGCAGCGUCGGUCUCUUUACCGAACCAUUCGUAUUGGUACGACGUCUGGAUGUUCGUGCUCUUUGACAUCGCGUUUUUCCUCGUAAUGUAUUACAUAGUCCCAUAGAAAGAAUUGCACCAGCCAGGAGCACCAAGAGGUCAGUGAGCCAGACGGGCAGAGAGGGGAAACAAGCCACUGAUGUGUCUGCUGGACCUGUGGUGGCCAUCGACAUGAAGAGGACGCCUGACUGGACGGAGCACAUGUCUAUGAUCUCUAUUGUGGCCGGAUCAAAAGGACUUUUUGGGGAGAGCCGUUUUGCUUUGGUUGCACUCACUCUUAGAGAUGCUGUGAUGUCAUACUAUGAGCGUCUUCAGCUGCAAUAAAGUGUUUGGAUCCCCAUUUGUGAGUGACUUGUGUGAAUCAAGAUGGUUAACAGUUAUGACGCUCAACAGUCUUCCUAAUUAGACCGCUGUGUCAGAAAUGACCUCAAUUCUAGGUUUAGUUUUUACAGAUGAAACCUGGAGGAGAAAACACUGGUGAGAAAAGAAUACUUUCAAUGCAUUUAUAAUCUGUAUACUAGUAAUGA